UAUCUUUUUCAAUAUUUACACCAUAAAAAAAAACGAACCCUAAAAUUCUAUCUUCUUCGUUCCAUCUUCUCUGCCUGCAGCUGCCUUUUCCCGUAGCCUUCCUCCUCAUCCUCUCCAGUAGUAGCUGCAUCUCCAAGUUCGAUCUUGAUCUUCUCCCAUAGCCGCUGCAUCUUCAGGUUCGUUUUCUUGAUUUUUCCAUUGAAAAAUUCAAUUUUAUGGGAAAAUUUCAAUCGGAAUCAGAGCAGCGACUACACGUCGGAGGACAAAGGCACGGAGGACUACCGGCGCGGCGGCUACCACACCGUCCGAAUCAGUGACACUUUCAAAAGUGGAUGGUAUGUCGUUCAAACCAAGCUCGGCUGGGGCCAUUUCUCCACCAUCUGGCUCGCCUGGGACACCUAACACUCCAGAUUUGUUGCUCUGAAAGUGCAAAAGAGUGCUGACCACUACACCGAGGCGGCCAUGGAUGAGAUAACCAUCUUGAAACAGAUUGCAAAGGGAGAUUUGGAUGAUAAAAAAUGUGUGGUGAAGAUUAAUGGAGCAAGGGUAAAUUAGUCAUUCAAUCUUUUGGUUCCGUUCCGUCCAGUGCAUACCAAAUGCAGAACGGAACAACUGUCCCAUUCCGUCAUGUGCGUACCAAACAUAACACGAAACUUUCGUUUUGUCCCAUCCUGUCCCGUCCUGUCUCAUCCCGUUCCGUUCCGUCCCGUCCCAUCUGCAUACCAAACGGUACCUAAAGUAUAGAUUUAGCAGAGACUAGAGCUUUAAUACCUUGCCGCGAGAAUAUCAUUAUAAGUUGUAUAAUAGUGUUAGAAUAAGAUAUUAAAUGAGUUGUAAGCACAAUCAUAGAUAUAUCAAAAAAACUAUUUACAUAAAA
Malus domestica (apple) is the source of this 877-nucleotide long non-coding RNA. RefSeq lists it as uncharacterized. The record is from RefSeq and is a predicted model, not a curated record. Lineage: Eukaryota; Viridiplantae; Streptophyta; Magnoliopsida; Rosales; Rosaceae.